This 716-nucleotide ribosomal RNA is filed under the name uncultured bacterium. RNAcentral describes it as "bacterial SSU rRNA". It matches the Rfam family "Bacterial small subunit ribosomal RNA", at positions 329 to 1025 of the family's 1533-position model. The record is from RNAcentral.
GCCCUUNCUCCUACGGNGAANAGCAGUAGGGAAUCUCCCACAAUGGACGCAAGUCUGAUGGAGCAACGCCGCGUGAGUGAAGAAGGUUUUCGGAUCGUAAAGCUCUGUUGUUGGUGAAGAAGGAUAGAGGUAGCUAACUGGCCUUUAUUUGACGGUAAUCAACCAGAAAGUCACGGCUAACUACGUGCCAGCAGCCGCGGUAAUACGUAGGUGGCAAGCGUUGUCCGGAUUUAUUGGGCGUAAAGCGAGCGCAGGCGGAAGAAUAAGUCUGAUGUGAAAGCCCUCGGCUUAACCGAGGAACUGCAUCGGAAACUGUUUUUCUUGAGUGCAGAAGAGGAGAGUGGAACUCCAUGUGUAGCGGUGGAAUGCGUAGAUAUAUGGAAGAACACCAGUGGCGAAGGCGGCUCUCUGGUCUGCAACUGACGCUGAGGCUCGAAAGCAUGGGUAGCGAACAGGAUUAGAUACCCGUGGUAGUCCAUGCCGUAAACGAUGAGUGCUAAGUGUUGGGAGGUUUCCGCCUCUCAGUGCUGCAGCUAACGCAUUAAGCACUCCGCCUGGGGAGUACGACCGCAAGGUUGAAAACUCAAAGGAAUUGACGGGGGCCCCNCACCNGCGGGUGGNNNNAUGUGGUUUAAUUCGAAGCNAACGCNGAAGANCCUUACCAGGUCUUGAACAUCUAGUGCCAUUUUGUUAGAGAUACAAAGUUCCCCUUCGGG